ACUGAAUAGAAUAACGCUGUGGCCUGCACACUCAAUCUUGGAUGAUCUUGGAAGCUAAGCAGAGUCUUACCUAGUAAAUGCAAACAAAGGACACUGCCUUUCACUACUAGGUGCUAUAAGUU
Molecule: ribosomal RNA, 122 nt
Filed under: Oryzias latipes (Japanese medaka)
Lineage: Eukaryota; Metazoa; Chordata; Actinopteri; Beloniformes; Adrianichthyidae
Source: RNAcentral